GUCGACUCCAAACGUCGCCAAAUUAACAAUGGAUGUGGGAUUGGAUAAUGAAACAUGAGCCGGUGGUUUCAAGAAAGAAAGUUGCUCGCGUCCUAUUUUCCGUCAACCUCUUCGCCGCGGCUACCUGUCCCCUCUUUUAGGCUGUCGUUCAUAGAGCUAAGAACUCAAAAUAUUCAGCUGAUGAGGAUAUGGAGGAGACAGAUGUUAAAGAUCCAAAUUUAAAGCAAUCUCUGGAG
Molecule: long non-coding RNA, 236 nt
Organism: Spinacia oleracea (spinach)
Lineage: Eukaryota; Viridiplantae; Streptophyta; Magnoliopsida; Caryophyllales; Amaranthaceae
Exons: 3
Source: RefSeq, a predicted model, not a curated record